GAUGAACGCUAGCUACAGGCUUAACACAUGCAAGUCGAGGGGCAGCAUGGUCUUAGCUUGCUAAGGCCGAUGGCGACCGGCGCACGGGUGAGUAACACGUAUCCAACCUGCCGUCUACUCUUGGACAGCCUUCUGAAAGGAAGAUUAAUACAAGAUGGCAUCAUGAGUUCACAUGUUCACAUGAUUAAAGGUAUUCCGGUAGACGAUGGGGAUGCGUUCCAUUAGGUAGUAGGCGGGGUAACGGCCCACCUAGCCGACGAUGGAUAGGGGUUCUGAGAGGAAGGUCCCCCACAUUGGAACUGAGACACGGUCCAAACUCCUACGGGAGGCAGCAGUGAGGAAUAUUGGUCAAUGGGCGAGAGCCUGAACCAGCCAAGUAGCGUGAAGGAUGAAGGUCCUACGGAUUGUAAACUUCUUUUAUACGGGAAUAAAGUAUCCUACGUGUAGGAUUUUGUAUGUACCGUAUGAAUAAGCAUCGGCUAACUCCGUGCCAGCAG
Molecule: ribosomal RNA, 497 nt
Filed under: uncultured bacterium
Lineage: Bacteria
Description: bacterial SSU rRNA
Rfam family: Bacterial small subunit ribosomal RNA
Source: RNAcentral